GUAAGAGAUGCAAAUGAUACGCUCUUACCAGGGUAAGAACUUUGUAACUGGACAAGAAUUUUAUCUGUCCUCGUGGAAGAACGAAUAUGAUCCAGCUCCAGGGGAAUAUACGUAUCAUUGUGAUCCUACUGGAUAUCCUCAGGAUGUCAUGAGGAAAGGUAAAGUUAAGGGGUACAGUACUGGACCAUGGAAUGGACUCCGCUGAAGUGGUGUACCAGGACUAAUACUAUUUCCACAUUAAAGCUGGAUCACACACUAUUAUCUGUUUAAUGUGUGAUGCAGUGGCUACAUGUCCCCAGAGUAUGUAGUCCAUGGUGUUUUCUCAGUAAAAUCAGAUGUAUUUAGCUUUGGUGUGUUAGUGCUACAGAUAACCAGUGGUCCGAGAAACAGAGGAUUUGCCGGUGAAAGUCAGAGUAUCAACCUACUCGGACAUGUAUGAAAACUUUAUAAAAGAAGGUAGAGCAUUGGAGCUAAUUGAUGGGCAUCUAAUGGAUUCACGUUAUAUUUCUGAAUUGCUACGCUUAAUGCAUGUCGCUCUGUUAUGUGUACAACAAUGUCCAGAAGACAGGCCAGAUAUGCCUACAGUGAUCUUGAUGUUGACUAAUGAUGCCAUUUUGCCUCAAGCUAAAGAACCUGGUUUCUUCACAGAAAGAAAAGUCACAUCUGAAUGCUCUACAAGCAUGAGUUCAACAAACGAAAUUACUGUCACACAGUUAGAACCCCCGUAAAUUACAUUACAUGUUCAUUCAGAUCGUUCAAUGUCAACAAGCUUGUAUUACAGUGUUUUGUGCUGUAAAGCCAUAAUGACCUACGUCAUAUGGUAUCUAUUAUUAGUAAGUCUUCAACAUGGGUGUGUAUCAGUAUUUACUGUGACACCUAUAAUAUUUAUUAAUUCUAAUGUA
Solanum lycopersicum (tomato) is the source of this 902-nucleotide long non-coding RNA. RefSeq lists it as uncharacterized. NCBI's taxonomy places the organism in Eukaryota, Viridiplantae, Streptophyta, Magnoliopsida, Solanales, Solanaceae. The record is from RefSeq and is a predicted model, not a curated record.